This is a long non-coding RNA of Nematostella vectensis (starlet sea anemone), 738 nucleotides long. RefSeq lists it as uncharacterized. The record is from RefSeq and is a predicted model, not a curated record. The transcript has 2 exons. NCBI's taxonomy places the organism in Eukaryota, Metazoa, Cnidaria, Anthozoa, Actiniaria, Edwardsiidae.
ACUGACAACACCUCAUUGCAUUCUUUUACAGAAUGGUGUCAGGGGUGUGAGGACCUCUACAGACAAACUAGGUAGAUUUUACUCAUCCCUAGUUGUCAGGAGUGUCAGGGGUGUCAGGAACUCUACAGACAAACUAGGUAGAUUUUACUCAUCCCUAGUUGUCAGGAGUGUCAGGGAUGUCAGGACCUCUACAGACAAACUAGGUAGAUUUCACUCAUCCCUAGUUGUCAGGAGUGUCAGGGAUGUCAGGACCUCUACAGACAAACUAGGUAGAUUUCACUCAUCCCUGUUGUCAGGAGUGUCAGGGAUGUCAGGACCUCUACAGACAAACUAGGUAGAUUUUACUCAUCCCUCGUUGUCAGGAGUGUCAGCAUCUCUAAAAAAAGACUAAUAGAUUUCAUUCAGCAUUAUUUGUGAUAUAAAAAAAACUUAAGCAAAUUCACAUGCCUAUUUUAUUAAGGCAAAUUGAUUACAAACUGUUUUAGGUUGCAUAGAGUUCAUGUUCACUGUAUACCUCAAUAAUAUUAUCGUACCUCCAAGUGAUAUCCGGAAUUUGAUACAAGUUUCUGAUAGCAAAAGCUAGUAUACUUCCUUAACGUUCUUACGGCUUUCCUGUGGUGUUAAGGGUUCCCUGUGAAAGAUCGCCUCCAAAAAGCCGGUGUUCAUCAACCAAUCCCAACCAUUUAUUUUAGAAAAUUACUGAAAUGAAGGUGUCAGGGUGUCAGGACUGACAAACAA